RNAcentral lists this long non-coding RNA (3660 nucleotides) under Canis lupus familiaris (dog). RNAcentral describes it as "lncRNA (ENSCAFG00845012911.1)". The record is from RNAcentral. Lineage: Eukaryota; Metazoa; Chordata; Mammalia; Carnivora; Canidae.
UUUCAUUAGUUGUGAAAUAUAUUAAGGAGAAAUGUAACAGCAUGCUUCAGAUAAUAUAAUUUAAUGUAGGCAGACAAACUGAGACUAAUUAUGGGGUUAGGUUUUCCCAGGAAAUAUUUAUUUAAUUAAUUUCCACAAUUUAAAAAUUAGUCCUGCGAGGAUUUCCUGAUUCUCUGCCUUCAGUAAAGCAGGACCUUCUCUUUUUUCAAGCCAUAACUUUUUUAUAGAACUUUAUUGUUAAUUACACCAUGAAGUAUUUUUUCUUACUCUCAAUAUUUCUGUGGUAACCAAACGAGAAACUUGUUUCUAUAUUAUUUUGAAUUUUUCUCCAUUUUUUCAUGGUAUCCUUGUUUUCCCUUGGACUUCAUUACAAGGUUUUAGACUCCCAUGUUUAUUGCUGGACCCCUCCUUGCCACCUGAUGUAUAUUUGUGUGUCUGUAGAUAACCAGGUAAUAAGUAAUGUUGUUCAACUUCUGAAUGAUAGUUCAGUGAGUCAAAUAGAUAUCUACAUCUACAUCUGUAAGAACAUGAUAUUUCCAAAAUAAUAAUAAAAUAUUAAUGUUUUCUAUAUGGCUGUGUAUAUGUGAUGGUAAAAAGUCAUGCCUAUUAUAAUUUCAAAAAUUAAAUAUUUGAUGGCAUUUUGUGCCUGGAAGCAAAGAAACUAACUUCAUAAUGGCUUUUAUUACAUGUUUUCCAGUGACUACUUUGAUAUCAUUUGAAUUAAGAUGUAUGUAAUAGAAACACUGCCUUACUCGCCAACUUUGCAUUUCUAAGUGAAGAUAUAUUCCCCUCUCUUCUCUUCCUCCCUCAGCUUAAAAUUAACCCCAUUUGGGGGAUCAUUAUUAAAGUUCUCUUGUAGGAUUCUUACAUGUAGAUGUGAGUAUAUCAAGAAACUAGCAUAGAACAUAGCACAUGAUAAGUAAUCAUUAGUUUUAAUUUUUGUUCCACAUUCCACCUUUAAAGUUUAUAUACCAAGCUUUGAGAUGAAAUUAUUUGGCUAGUACCACUUUAAUCAGCUUGUAUUUGGAGUUAGUUUAUUCUCCAUAUUCUACAAAAUCAAAAUUAAGAUUUGCUUUUUAUUAGACUUUGGAGAUCCUGUUACAUUUGGAUCUCAUGGAUUUUAGAUGAAAAAUAGACCUACGGAUCAUGUAGUUCAUUACACAGAUGGGGAGUUGUUACCAAUGGGCAUCUUGAAGUGACAUCAUACAGCCUGGUAGCUGGGGAGACAGAUACAGAAAUCAGGUCUUCUAACUUCUUGUUUAAUGUCCUUUUUAGUGCAACAUACUUCCCCUGAGUUGGAUUGAUAAACGGUUCCUUGCUGAUGUUCAGAAAUCUCUAACAUAUUUGUGGAUAAUGUUAUAGUAGCUAUUUUGAGUAUCACCCCAGAAGUUAAGAUAACAAAAGACAGAUUUAAUUUGCAUAUGCUUUUUAUGUGUAAAUUACUUCACUAUUUACAACUUUUUUUUCCUCUAAUAAUAGGUCUCUGUUAUUUUGGUUUUUGUAGUUUUUUCAAGUGGGAUGAGGGAUGGAGACAAUCCUAAUAAUUCAAGAAGUGGGAAACAAAUAAGGAAAAGAAAGAAUGUUUCAUCCUUACUCACCUACCUACUUUGAUAUUUUCUUCAGGGAUUAUAAAUCCAUUAUUUCUACAGUUAAUAAUAGUUUGCUCUUCAGAUAAGCUACAAACUCUGUAGAGGUUAAAACUUUCAAUAUACAACUGUGGCUGUUUGUUCACCACAGUGCAUCGCCAGGUAAACUUUAACCAAAAGCCCAAGAGACUGAAUAUUUUAAUCCUACAGAAGCAGUUUUGUUCGCUGGCAAAACAGUACCUGGAUUUUGAGUAUUUCUCAAAGGAGCUAGGCUGGGAAUUUAAAAUAUGUUAGAGCUCCUCAAGGGGCAUAGAACAUCUGCUGGACUGUAAUCUAAUAAAACAGAAUUGGACAAAGAUGAGGUCUCUGACAUAUGCUGGUGCUGGACUUAUACUUGAACAGCUCAAGCAGUUUUGCUUUGAUAAACUGAUCAAGACAAUGGACUUGUGGAAGCUGCCUCGCCAGGACAGCUGGACGCUACCUUCUGGGUUCUGCUCCCUGGUCCCCUUGCAGUUGAAUUUCAUGGAAUUUUAUCAUGUCCCAAACAUACAGUCUAAGAGCUGAGCUCCCUUACCAUUUGUAUUUGAUAGAUUCUUCCAUCUGAGUCUGGGGAUAAAUAUGAGGAAUUUAACCAAGUGGAAAUUGAAUAGCAUAGCAAAGGGAAAUGUGGAUUCAAACUUUGAAAAGUUUCAUGUUCAAGGUUUUCCACCUCCAUCUUUUUUAUUUUAAGCAAACCUUUCAAGCUAUCUUAUGUCCAUGAUUUUCUUGUAAAAUACAGCAAUAACAAUUCCCACUGUUUUUUAAAUCCAAAGUAUUUGAAAGUUCAUACCCUCUGCAGGAUAAUGGAAAUCAUAGUAGUUCCUUGUGAUCUUCUUUUUUGAAUGGAGGAGGGCAUUAGGUUGUUUGGGCUACUGUAACAAAAUAACACCAAAAGGGUGGUAUAAACAACAGUACUUUAUUAUCUCACAGAUCUGAAUGCCAGACAUCCCAGAUCAAGGUGCCGGGUUGGGUCCUUCUGAGAGAUGUGAAAGAUAGUCUGCUCUAGGCCUUUCUCUUGGCUUCUGGUAGUUUGCUAUCAUUGUUUUUUGCUCUUUGGUGUAUAGAAGCAUCACCCUCAUCUUUACCUCCCUCUUUACACGUGUAUUCCCUGUGUGUAUGUCCAAAUUGCCGUUUUUAGAAAAGACGUGACGUCACAUUGGAUCAGGAGUCUAGAGCAUUCUACUGCAUUAUGAGCACAUCUUAACUCUUUAGGUCACACCUUGAGGUACUGGAAAUGAACUUCAACAUAUGAAUUUGACAGAGGGGAGAAACAUUUCAACCUACAAUGGAGGAUCAUGGGAAUUUUUUAAAAACUUCCUUUACUUAGUGUCCUUUUCAGUGAUUGGGAAAUUUGGGAUUACCGUAUUAUUCUGUAUCCUUCUGUUCCUUCAUUCCUACUCUCUGUAUAAACCCCAAACCACCUCCUAAUGCAUUCAAUUUAUAAUAUCAAAGUAGGAGACUAUGUAGAGAGAUCAGCAUUAGAAUGAAAGAUUGUAAAUCAGACUUAGAAUAUUAAUGGCCUAUGCUAAUCUGACCGCCAAAACUAUUUAGGUCAGUUUCUGAAAAUCACUAAGUAAUGUACCAAAACCUGAUAACCGUUUUUGUAUUUUUCAUUUGCGAAAACUUCCAUUUAUGUCAUCUCACUUAAACCAACAUAGUUCCUAUUUAAAGAUGUAGAAAUUGAAGUUCAGAGGUGAUAUAAUGCCAAAGGUCAUUUGUGUAGUUACCUGGGUUACAUACAACCUGGGUUACAUUUUAUGAGAGAUUAUAAAUCCAUGUCUUGAGUUCUUUAUGCUCUCAUGUCAUGUUCUCUUUAGAAAAUGUAGGUAGGUAGGUUUGUGACUCAUACAGGUCUCAAAUAAAGACCAGUGAAAUUGAAGAGUGGACCCUGUAAGUGCAGAUUGUUUGUAUCAUACUUUCAAUUUCUUCACUUUUCCACAUCAAAUGUUUCUGAUUCUUAUUAUCUAUCACUAGUGCUAUGGUUCACAUAGAUUAUGAGAAGAAAUAUUUCAUUUUUUAAAUCAUUUUUCUUCUG